GACGAACGCGGGCGGCGUGCCUAAUACAUGCAAGUAGAACGCUGAAGGAGGAGCUUGCUUCUCCGGAUGAGUUGCGAACGGGUGAGUAACGCGUAGGUAACCUGCCUGGUAGCGGGGGAUAACUAUUGGAAACGAUAGCUAAUACCGCAUAAGAGUGGAUGUUGCAUGACAUUUACUUAAAAGGUGCAAUUGCAUCACUACCAGAUGGACCUGCGUUGUAUUAGCUAGUUGGUGGGGUAACGGCUCACCAAGGCGACGAUACAUAGCCGACCUGAGAGGGUGAUCGGCCACACUGGGACUGAGACACGGCCCAGACUCCUACGGGAGGCAGCAGUAGGGAAUCUUCGGCAAUGGACGGAAGUCUGACCGAGCAACGCCGCGUGAGUGAAGAAGGUUUUCGGAUCGUAAAGCUCUGUUGUAAGAGAAGAACGAGUGUGAGAAGUGGAAAAGUUCACACUGUGAACGGUAUUUUAACCA
RNAcentral lists this ribosomal RNA (477 nucleotides) under Streptococcus mitis. RNAcentral's name for it is "bacterial SSU rRNA". It matches the Rfam family "Bacterial small subunit ribosomal RNA", at positions 28 to 486 of the family's 1533-position model. The record is from RNAcentral. Lineage: Bacteria; Bacillati; Bacillota; Bacilli; Lactobacillales; Streptococcaceae.